This 253-nucleotide ribosomal RNA is filed under the name uncultured bacterium. RNAcentral describes it as "partial 16S ribosomal RNA". It matches the Rfam family "Bacterial small subunit ribosomal RNA", at positions 524 to 776 of the family's 1533-position model. The record is from RNAcentral.
UACGAAGGGGGCUAGCGUUGUUCGGAAUCACUGGGCGUAAAGGGCGCGUAGGCGGCUUUAUAAGUCAGGGGUGAAAUCCUGGAGCUCAACUCCAGAACUGCCUUUGAUACUGAAGAUCUUGAGUUCGGGAGAGGUGAGUGGAACUGCGAGUGUAGAGGUGAAAUUCGUAGAUAUUCGCAAGAACACCAGUGGCGAAGGCGGCUCACUGGCCCGGUACUGACGCUGAGGUGCGAAAGCGUGGGGAGCAAACAGG